CAGUCGCCGCGGUAAUACGUAGGGCGCAAGCGUUAUCCGGAGUUAUUGGGCGUAAAGAGCUCGUAGGCGGUUUGUCGCGUCUGCCGUGAAAGUCCGGGGCUCAACCCCGGAUCUGCGGUGGGUACGGGCAGACUAGAGUGAUGUAGGGGAGACUGGAAUUCCUGGUGUAGCGGUGAAAUGCGCAGAUAUCAGGAGGAACACCGAUGGCGAAAGCAGGUCUCUGGGCAUUAACUGACGCUGAGGAGCGAAAGCAUGGGGAGCGAACAGGAUUAGAUACCCCCGUAGUCCCUGUCUCUAAUAA
RNAcentral lists this ribosomal RNA (301 nucleotides) under uncultured bacterium. RNAcentral's name for it is "partial 16S ribosomal RNA". It matches the Rfam family "Bacterial small subunit ribosomal RNA", at positions 509 to 809 of the family's 1533-position model. The record is from RNAcentral.